AAUGCCACUACAAUCUAACAAUUUCAUUUCAAAAGCAUUCAAAAUCUUUUUACUAACAAUGCCACUACAAUCCAACAAUUACAUAGGCAUUAUGUCAUAACACUUAGCUAUAAUGUACCAAAUUUCUCAAUGAUAUCCAAAAAUACAAUAAAAUUAUUUACGCAUGUGCUAUGCUCAACAGGUCCAUCAAUGAUCCCUUUUUAAGUAUUAUCCUGGAACUACCUACAAAAUAUACGAAUUGUAGUCUCUCAAUAGAAAUAAUUGUUAUUCAUGUAAGUAAUAGCAAGAAGAAAAAAAGCAACUAGUAAUAUGCCAUGCACACACCUACUACCAGAACAAAUUUCAUAUACUAGUUGUUUAAGCACAUAUUAACAAGAAACAUAAAUUGCAUAUGAAGACCUUAUUAUCGAGCACAGAUGAGCUAUGAUGUGGCCUGCUUCCAUGUAGGUAAUAUGUUCAAAGUCCAUAUCUGAUGCACUACUGUUUCUAUAGAAGAAGAAAAAACAUUAAGUAAGAAAUAUAUCUCAAGUCAAAAGACUUACCUCCUAAGACCUAAUUCUGCCAGUUAAGACUGUCGAGUAUUUUUUUAUGAAGGACUUUUGAAGUGGUACCCUACCAAGUUAUCCAACCAACCCCUAAAACAAAACUUUGUACAAAAAACUUUUCUUCAGAAACUUGCAGAUAUAAAGUACAACCUACAUUGAAAUUAAAGCACAUAGUACAUAAUGCGAAUAGCUGAAAACAUAUUAUUGGUCUUUACCUCCAGAGCACUGAUAACCACUUUAAUAAUUAACUGUUUUGGUCCAUCAAGCUUUACUCCAAAGUACUUAUCCAAUACAUUCCUAAAGGCCUACCAGAGAAGCAAACAAGACCAAUUCAUACAACAAUGCAUGCCUAAAUUACAAAAAGAUUGACUACUAGCUAAUUUCCUGCCACUUAUAAGACUAAGCGAGUUAAAGCAAAUGAUAAUAAGCCAACAAACAGUUAAGGUCCUAGAGUAUACAAGAAUCACCCUAUAGUAGAAACAUUGUAAUAAAAAACUCUAAUAGAAUAAGUUCCCCGUGUUACUAGCCGGAGAUGUAGCUAAUUUGGUUACUUUCCCGUGUUUUCUAACUGGUCUUGUAACACAGUACACAACGCAUUUCGAUCCUCUCGACAGUAGAGAUAUCUAAGGGUAUGAAUGACCAUAUAAAUUCUUCAUAUAUAUAAUCACAAGGUUAAUAUCAGAAACCGCAUAAACUGUUUAGAUUACUAGUGAAUAUUGAUCUACAGAAAAUAUAUAAAUGAUGAUAGCUUCCUUACCCGACUUUCAAUAUGUGUAGUUUCAAUCUGGAGGGCUUGCUUUCCUUACUCGUACCUGAAGGUUUAGUCCGCUUAGAAUAACUUAAUCAUCUGUAGUUCAGAUGUUUAAAAAAACAAAUGAUAAAACUCACCACACUACAGCAAAGGCUCGAAUGCUGAAGAAGUCGUGAAGCAAGAACAAUGACUUCUGGAGGCAUCCCUGGAAGAACUGGAUAUGAGAUAAAAUGUAAAAUGCAUUUAAUGCCAACAUAUCAUGUUAUUAUCAUAAAAGUUAUUCAAGCCUCAAGACUAUAAGUACUAUGAAAUGGUUGGAGUUGGACAGUUUCAUGUCAAAGGAAUAUUUUACUUAGCAUUUUCAAGGUAAGAUAAGUCAAACGUGAUGAGAACACAGUAUCAAACUUUUUUAUAUGCAUUAAGAACAAUGAUUUAUUAGAACUUAUAAAAUGAAAAGAAUACCUUGUGCCAAGGGUGUACUUUUAUCUGUUGGAAUUAUACUCUGUGUAAUUUGGAUUCAAAACAAGCAACGGAUUUCUUCCCUAGUUGGGGUACCAAGAAC
This 1858-nucleotide long non-coding RNA is filed under the name Aquilegia coerulea. RNAcentral describes it as "long non-coding RNA (ACOE_LNC000716)". Lineage: Eukaryota; Viridiplantae; Streptophyta; Magnoliopsida; Ranunculales; Ranunculaceae. The record is from RNAcentral.